Molecule: long non-coding RNA, 757 nt
Organism: Pipra filicauda (Wire-tailed manakin)
Lineage: Eukaryota; Metazoa; Chordata; Aves; Passeriformes; Pipridae
Exons: 2
Source: RefSeq, a predicted model, not a curated record
CCUCGCCGUUCCCGGGCACAGGGCGCGCCCCCGCCGGCCGCAGGGAAGGGGUCGGGCCUGCCGCCGGCUGCCCUGGCCCGAGGUCGGGUUGAGGAGCCGGAGGCCGGGCCUCCCCCCGCAUCCCGCGGGUUCAUCUUCCCAGGCACCCUCGGCUCGGCACCUCCGGCCGCCUGGGGUCCGGUCACUGACAUACAGAUUUACCUGCCAGAGGACUUCAAAGCCUGUAAUGCUUGGCAGCCAAGCCUGUCUCAGAUUUUUCUAUUGGUUGGAAGAAGUUACUGAAAUUAGAUGGCAAAUGCUCCAGCAACACUGGAGUCACAUUCCUACGCUAAAGAAGAUUGCCAGUGUGGCUUUCUUGAUUAUAUGCUGCUUCGUGGCUGCAUCUUGAACUGGAGGCUAUCUGUCUGAAGAGGAUGGUCUCCAAAGCUGCUCCACACAACAGCAGCAGGGUGACAAGGAGGGAACCACCCCAGGUUUGUGGCCUGCCUUUGGUAAAGACCUCUGGUUCUAGAAGAAUGGAAUUUUCAUUUCUGUAGACUUGUACCUACUUGGACUGCUCUUCCCCAAGCAGCUACCAGCAGUGUCUACCAAAGCAAAAGGACUAUCUGCAGUCACCUUGACAUGACAUGAGGCCUAAGCCUUCUCACAGAGGCAUCCCAUCUUUGUGAAUCAUGGGGCAAGCUGGGGUACUCUCAGGGAAUCCCCAUGUGUGCCUGUUGCCUAAAAUUGGCUCUUAAAUGAAACCUCUAAAGACUCA